This is a long non-coding RNA of Dermacentor andersoni, 395 nucleotides long. RefSeq lists it as uncharacterized. The record is from RefSeq and is a predicted model, not a curated record. Lineage: Eukaryota; Metazoa; Arthropoda; Arachnida; Ixodida; Ixodidae.
AAGACGCAGCAAAGGUCAACCAAGCAUUAGACGACGGCGGCUGAACGAGGCAUCACAUGUGUUCCGCGGUUGUGCGGUGUUCCAACACCGGGAAUUCCAGUUCUGCAAUGAUGUUCUGGUUUAUUAACGACAGCUGCUUGCAGAACUUCAGGGUCACCUGCGGGAAUGCCUCUUCAGAACCGAGACCUUCGUGUUGAUGCCUCGGUGUUGGUAGCAUCGCCGGCGCCUAGGCCUGGGAUCACCACUGGAUUAGUCAGCACUGUGCCGCUCACGACAGGGCGCACAGACCACUGCAAUUACGUAGCCUGUGACAAUGUGCGCUGAACUUCGAAGCAGCUGCCUUUGAAGAUAUGCCUGUAUUGUUCAAAUUCGUAGUAAACAUUAUUGUUUCUGUU